UUUCCGUAGGUGAACCUGCGGAAGGAUCAUUAAAAAAUGUGGUACCAUUUGUGGUACUAAUUAAUCAUCCUACCCUCUGUGAAUUUGUUUGUAAUGAAUUUUUUUAAAUGGGUCUUUCCCUAAGUUGGAUUGUAGUAAAAAUACAAAAAGACUUAGAGGAAUGACUUUUUUAAAAGACUUUUUUUUAAUUAAAACUUUUUGUAUUCAUUUGUCUAAAAUUUAUUUUUAUAAUAUAAAAACAACUUUUGACAAUGGAUCUCUUGGUUCUCGCAACGAUGAAGAACGCAGCAAAAUGCGAUAAGUAGUGUGAAUUGCAGAAUACGUGAAUCAUCGAAUCUUCGAACGCAUAUUGCACUUUUUUAGUUUACUAAAAAAGUAUGUCUGUUUGAGUAUCAGUAAAAUAUUCUCACAAACAAUAUUGUUUUUGUGGUUAUGAGUGUUUUACAACGAUAAACAAGUUGUUUCACUUUAAAUUCUUUUUAAUUGAAUUUUACCAAUUCAUAAAUUAAAAUUGGAUAAAAUUUUCCUUUAACGAGGAAUAACCUAAACAAUUUUAAAUUUUAUGGAUUAAUAAACAUUCAUCAAAGGAAUCUAAUUAUACAACAAUAACUUGAUCUCAAAUCAGAUAAGAGUACCCGCUGAACUUAAGCAUAUCAAUAAGCGGAGGGAAAGAAACUAACAAGGAUUCCUUAGUAACGGCGAGUGAAGCGGGAAGAGCUCAAAUUUGAAAUCUUCAAGGUUUGACCUUGACGAAUUGUAGUUUAUAGAAGUGUUUUCUGUUGGAGUUUUGGUAAAAGUUCUUUGGAAUAGGACAUCAUAGAGGGUGAGAAUCCCGUACUUGACCAUGACUUUCCAGCUGUGUGAUACACUUUCAAAGAGUCGGAUUGUUUGGGAAUGCAGUCCAAAAUGGGUGGUAAAUUUCAUCUAAAGCUAAAUAUUGGCGAGAGACCGAUAGCGAACAAGUACCGUGAGGGAAAGAUGAAAAGAACUUUGAAAAGAGAGUUAAACAGUACGUGAAAUUGUCAAAAGGGAAGCGUUUGACACCAGUGUUGUUUUCUCGAAAAUCAAUUUAAUGAGUUCUUGUUUUUAAGUUAUUGUGACUUUAUCAGCGCAUUUCUUAUUUUACUUGACUCAUUGAAUGCACUUUUCGUUUAACAAGUCAACAUCAAUUUCUUUGGUGGUAAAAAGUUUAAAGAAGGUGGCUUGGACUUCGGUUCAAGUGUUUAUAGCCUUUUUUCUAUGCCAUCGGAGAGAUUGAGGUCUGCAGCGUAGAUCCUUCGGGUUAGAUACCUUUGUGCUAAGUUAAUAGUUUUUUAUAGACAACUUGUUGACUAUAAUUAACCCUGUAAUUUACUCGCUUAGGCUAUUUACCUACGCUUAGGAUGUUG
RNAcentral lists this unclassified non-coding RNA (1388 nucleotides) under uncultured Neocallimastigales. RNAcentral describes it as "partial contains small subunit ribosomal RNA, internal transcribed spacer 1, 5.8S ribosomal RNA, internal transcribed spacer 2, and large subunit ribosomal RNA". The stretch from base 612 to 1388 matches the Rfam family "Eukaryotic large subunit ribosomal RNA", at positions 1 to 628 of the family's 3401-position model. Lineage: Eukaryota; Fungi; Neocallimastigomycota; Neocallimastigomycetes; Neocallimastigales. The record is from RNAcentral.